UGGGUGGGGGUCCCCCGGGGAGCACAGCGCAGUGCUAGGGCCCCUGUAGCAGAUUCCCAGGAGACACACACCCAGCUGGGCCUGCUGACACUAGCCCUGCAUUCCCACACCCCCUCCCCUGGCCCUCUCAGCUGCCUUGUCCUCUCCUGGUCAGCUGCCUGGGGACACUGUCACGAUGCCUGGCCCCUGACCUUGCCCGAAGCUCCUCGGUGUCUGGACAUUCAGCCCGACAUGCUCUGAGGUUUGGGGCAGGUCCAGCACUCUGUGGGUCCACCCCAUCAGCCCUCAGGGUGGGACUCAUGCAGCCACAGUUUGAGAGUUCCAGGAACCACAAGUCCUGAGUCAGCGGGCACCUGACCCCUUAUGUCACCUGCCCCAGGUGGAAGGAGACGCUACAGGGACCAAGCAUGGUUGGUAAACGUGUGUGUGUAUGUGCACUCACGCCUGUGUGUUAAAAUGCUUCAGAGAAAGAGCAGCCCAGGAACGUGGGGGUUGGAUGGGAUGUGGAGGUGUGGGCUGUGCCUAGGGGUCCCUCCUGGGGCUGUGUGGGUGUGAGUGGAGGACUGAGGAAAAGCCUCCUUACCCGGGAGUGUGUGGGGGUGCUGUUUCUCGUAUACUUUAUUUCCUGUUUUAACACAUGUGGGUGUCCUGAAAUAAAAGCCGUUAGCCGCCCACAAGAAUGAGCAGGUUUGCUGGAUCACAGUCCCCCACCCGGUGCCAGGCUGCCUGCCUGGGAGACUCAGGGUCCUCCCCAAUCCUGCCUCCCCACCUCCACACAAGGGUGAAUCUGAAGCCCCAGGCACCCACGCCAGGGGAACUGAGGUAGAGCAGACCUCCAGCAUCCCCCCGUGACCUGGCAGAUGGCAGUGGACAUUGCCCUCCCCAGACACCCCUCCCCACCUUCGCUUCCGGGACCACAGAGCCCCUGGAGCCUGCACGCCACGGAGUCUCCCACUGAGGAGUGAGGAGGCCUCUUGUGGGGACAGAUCUGGAAUGAGUGGCAUCCAAACCUGACUCAUAUUUCCAACUUUAUUAAUUUUUGCAAGACUUCGGAGGGUGCUCUGUGGCGAUUA
This 1073-nucleotide long non-coding RNA is filed under the name Homo sapiens (human). Its description in RNAcentral is "HSALNT0392297". The record is from RNAcentral. Lineage: Eukaryota; Metazoa; Chordata; Mammalia; Primates; Hominidae.